AGCGUAGGCGGAAUGAUAAGUCUGAUGUGAAAGCCCACGGCUCAACCGUGGAACAGCAUCGGAAACUGUCAUUCUUGAGUGCAGAAGAGGAGAGUGGAACUCCAUGUGUAGCGGUGGAAUGCGUAGAUAUAUGGAAGAACACCAGUGGCGAAGGCGGCUCUCUGGUCUGCAACUAGCGCUGAGCUCGAAAGCAUGGGUAGCGAACA
Molecule: ribosomal RNA, 206 nt
Filed under: uncultured bacterium
Lineage: Bacteria
Description: partial 16S ribosomal RNA
Rfam family: Bacterial small subunit ribosomal RNA
Source: RNAcentral